UACGGAGGGGGCUAGCGUUGUUCGGAAUUAUUGGGCGUAAAGCGCGCGCAGGCGGUCUCGUAAGUCUGAUGUGAAAGCCCACGGCUCAACCGUGGAGGGUCAUUGGAAACUGGGGAACUUGAGUACAGAAGAGGAAAGUGGAAUUCCACGUGUAGCGGUGAAAUGCGUAGAGAUGUGGAGGAACACCAGUGGCGAAGGCGACUUUCUGGUCUGUAACUGACGCUGAGGCGCGAAAGCAUGGGGAGCGAACAGG
RNAcentral lists this unclassified non-coding RNA (253 nucleotides) under uncultured Caryophanales bacterium. Its description in RNAcentral is "uncultured Bacillales bacterium contains 16S-23S intergenic spacer region". It matches the Rfam family "Bacterial small subunit ribosomal RNA", at positions 524 to 776 of the family's 1533-position model. Lineage: Bacteria; Bacillati; Bacillota; Bacilli; Caryophanales. The record is from RNAcentral.